AAGAUGUCUUUACGAGUUGUGUAAAUGCAUACAUAAUACAUCGAUGUAUAAUCAAAUUAAAUUCAACAUUUAUUAUUGUUCUUUAAUUCAUCUACCAAAACGAAUGUUGCAAAUUGAAAAAAUCACCACCAUUAAAAGUUGUUUUCUCAUCGUUGCUUCGUUUUCCAGUGGCAAAGGUGUUGACUAAAAUGUUUUCUUAUACCAUUUUAUGCAACUCUUAUAUAAUCCACAAAAGAAAAUAUUUUGGAUCAAAUUGCAUUGGGCGACGUUCAGGGCAGACAGCAGGUAUGGUUGGUUACGGUGUUGUGCAUUUGUUGGACUGUACCCCAUGGGCUGGGAGAAAAAGCAUGGAAUCCAAUGCUUGUAAUCAAAGUUCCGCCAAAAAUCUUCCUUUAAUGUCCACUUUGUUUUCUCAAUAUAAUCCCGCCGUUUUAAUUUACAAUACGAUUUUCAUAUCCAUGUUAUUUUAACCAAUUAUUUAGUAUUGCUUUCUAGCUUUAGAGCUCUGCUG
Long non-coding RNA from Musca domestica (house fly), 511 nucleotides. RefSeq lists it as uncharacterized. Lineage: Eukaryota; Metazoa; Arthropoda; Insecta; Diptera; Muscidae. The record is from RefSeq and is a predicted model, not a curated record. The transcript has 3 exons.